GUAUAAAAUGUGGGGAGCUGACAUUUUAGAGGGAGCGGCCAGGCGUGGGCACACAGGAGCAAAGACCUGGCAAAAGUGAGGGAGCACGGAGCCUGUAAAUAUCUGAGGAAAGAACCUUCUAGCAAAGGGAGCAGCCGCAUGCCAAGGCCCCUUCUCGGACAAGAGGCCAGUGUGGCUGGAGGAGGGGGAGGAAGUGGGCAGAGGGGGGACUGCAGUGGGAUGUGAGGUCAGAGAGGCGAGGGGGUGGCAGGCCCCCGUGUGGGCCACGCAAGGGACCUGGUUCCAGCCUGUCGGUUGCAAGCCAUGCAGGAGGUUGAGCAGGGGAGGGACGAGGCCUACUCAUGUUUUCAUGGGAUCGUCCCACUGCUGGGCGGAGGACGCUGAACAGGGAGGAGCUGCGCAGAGAGACCAGCAAGGAGGCUGCUGAGGUGAUCGGACCCGGAGCUUCUAAAAUGAGGGGAAAGGAUCGUAGAAAACAUCUAAAAGAAUCCUAAAGAAGACAAGAAAGAAGAGGAAAUGGUAUAGAAAAUGGUGGGCAAAUGGAAAACAACUGACGAGAUGAGAGUCACAAGCCCCAAUAUUAGAAAUUACUGAAUUAGAUGAAAAAGGUCUAAAAAGUUAACAGGAAAAAAAUGGAUCACAUAAGCAUCACGUGAACUUGAAGACAGAGUUUCUACUUCCCGCUUCAUCUGCUGCCUGCUCUCUGGCUUCAGGCGAGCCCUGCCUGUUUGCAAACCAGCGCUGCUCCUCGGAGCCAAGCUGAGGGGGUGAGAGGAGCAUGGCCCAUCCCUCCCAGACCCGAGCCUGGUCUAGACGCCGCCCGAGAGAUGCCCAGACUGAUGCAAACAGUGCAGCCCAGGAGCACUGGAAGGCAGGUGCGCGGUGAGGCUCCCAGACAGCACGUGGAACACUUUAAAUAGAGUGUUUAGGAGGAAAGCAAGAGCACAGCAGUGCGGGAAGUGUCUAAAUGUCUAUUCUUCCCGCCUACACCUGUCGAGUGACACUGCACUGAAGAAGGAGACGCUGGGGCCGGAAGGAGGAGCUCAGAGCUGGAAAGAGACAGGCUCGCACCCAGCGACGGGCUGCAGCUGAAAGCUGAGGCCUCGUGGCACCAAAGGCCAAGCAAGGACUCCUCACCGAUCAAGGACCUGUGGUCACUACGGAUCGCAUCCUCCUCCGACCCAGUUCACGUUCGUGGAGGUCAAACUGGGAUACUUCCCUGCGUCUCCUUUUCCAAAUGCCUCUGGGGUUUCAAAGAUUCUCAGGAGCAUCUGCCUCUAUACCUUGACUUUGAAAGCUCACGUUUCCUCACAGGGCCCUUUUAUUUAUUUAUUACUUUUUUAAGGUAUGUGUUUUUUGGUGAGGAAGAUUGGCCCUGAGCUAAUAUCUCUUGCCACUCUUCCUCUUUUUAUUUUUCUUUUUUCUCCCCAAAGCCCCAGUACAUAGUUGUAUAUCACAGUCAUAGGUCUUUCUAGUGCUUCUAUGUGGGAGGCCACCAGAGCAUGGCUUGACGAGCGGUGUGCAGAUCCACACCCAGGAUCUGAACCAGGAACCCUGGGCUGACGAAAUGGAGCAUGCAAACUUAACCACUGUGUCACCAGGCUAGCCCCAGGGCCCUUUUAAAUACGAUGAGACGGCUGACUUUGUAA
Long non-coding RNA from Equus caballus (horse), 1649 nucleotides. NCBI's taxonomy places the organism in Eukaryota, Metazoa, Chordata, Mammalia, Perissodactyla, Equidae. The record is from Ensembl.